UAGGCCAUGGUAGAUAGAGAUGG
This 23-nucleotide microRNA is filed under the name Canis lupus familiaris (dog). RNAcentral describes it as "cfa-miR-1836". Lineage: Eukaryota; Metazoa; Chordata; Mammalia; Carnivora; Canidae. The record is from miRBase by way of RNAcentral.